This 424-nucleotide ribosomal RNA is filed under the name uncultured Chryseobacterium sp. RNAcentral describes it as "bacterial SSU rRNA". It matches the Rfam family "Bacterial small subunit ribosomal RNA", at positions 355 to 776 of the family's 1533-position model. The record is from RNAcentral. Lineage: Bacteria; Pseudomonadati; Bacteroidota; Flavobacteriia; Flavobacteriales; Weeksellaceae.
UGAGGAAUAUUGGACAAUGGGUGAGAGCCUGAUCCAGCCAUCCCGCGUGAAGGAUGACGGUCCUAUGGAUUGUAAACUUCUUUUGUACAGGGAUAAACCUACUCUCGUGAGGGUAGCUGAAGGUACUGUACGAAUAAGCACCGGCUAACUCCGUGCCAGCAGCCGCGGUAAUACGGAGGGUGCAAGCGUUAUCCGGAUUUAUUGGGUUUAAAGGGUCCGUAGGCGGACUUGUAAGUCAGUGGUGAAAUCUCAUAGCUUAACUAUGAAACUGCCAUUGAUACUGCAGGUCUUGAGUAAAUUUGAAGUGGCUGGAAUAAGUAGUGUAGCGGUGAAAUGCAUAGAUAUUACUUAGAACACCAAUUGCGAAGGCAGGUCACUAAGAUUUAACUGACGCUGAUGGACGAAAGCGUGGGUAGCGAACAGG